RNAcentral lists this ribosomal RNA (172 nucleotides) under uncultured bacterium. RNAcentral describes it as "partial 16S ribosomal RNA". It matches the Rfam family "Bacterial small subunit ribosomal RNA", at positions 335 to 524 of the family's 1533-position model. The record is from RNAcentral.
ACUCCUACGGAAGGCAGCAGUGGGGAAUCUUGCGCAAUGGGCGAAAGCCUGACGCAGCCAUGCCGCGUGAAUGAUGAAGGUCUUAGGAUUGUAAAAUUCUUUCACCGGGGAAGAUAAUGACGGUACCCGGAGAAGAAGCCCCGGCUAACUUCGUGCCAGCAGCCGCGGUAAU